RNAcentral lists this transfer RNA (68 nucleotides) under Oncomelania hupensis. RNAcentral describes it as "tRNA-Ile". Lineage: Eukaryota; Metazoa; Mollusca; Gastropoda; Littorinimorpha; Pomatiopsidae. The record is from RNAcentral.
UAGUACUACGCCGGAUGAACGGAAGUCAUUGAUGUUGACUAGCAUGAGAUUAUUUAUUUCUAGUACUA